Long non-coding RNA from Benincasa hispida (wax gourd), 1311 nucleotides. RefSeq lists it as uncharacterized. The record is from RefSeq and is a predicted model, not a curated record. Lineage: Eukaryota; Viridiplantae; Streptophyta; Magnoliopsida; Cucurbitales; Cucurbitaceae.
UCACAGAGAAAGGUUCUCUGAAAAAUCCUCUCAUUCUCUCUUCCAAUUCAAAGGCAGAGCCCACAACUCCUGUCAAUUCUCAACCCUAGAGAAUACAUGAGGCUCCAUUUGUGGUGGUGUCCCAAUUGGAAGAAGAGAUCGUGAUCCGUUCAAGGGAGUUCGUGAAGAAUUUGUUCUUCAAACGUGGAGGAAGAUAAUGACAGUCCAAUUGAGGAAGUGAGGCUGAUAGUUCCACCAACUGAUGACCCUUCAGAGCCAGCCUUAACAUUCAGAACAUGGAUUCUUUGGCUUACAUCUUGCUGUCCCUUGUCUUUUGUUGUAAACCAAUUCUUUGGUUUUCGCCAGAAUCCGCUUUAUGUUUCGUCGGUUUCUGCACAGAUUCUUGUUCUUCCUCUGGGAAAAUUGAUGGCUGCAACUAUUCCAUCUACCUCAGUUCGAAUUCCACUCACCAAAUGGUCAUUUUCGUUGAAUCCAGGGCCGUUUACUGUCAAAGAACAUGUCCUGAUCACCAUUUUCGCCAAUUCUGGAUCAAAUAACUGUCUGUGCUAUGAAUAUAGUCACGAGGUAAGGCAUUUUACCACAGAAAUCUCCAUCCUUUGGCAGCCUUGUUUGUUGUCUCAAACCAGUCAGGUAUCUUCUAAUUUACUUCAUUAGGCUCAAUAAGCCUCUCUAUCUUUAGAUUGCUUCAGACUGGUUGUGUUUGUCCCAUAAUACAAUACCCAUUUUCAUAUAUUGGUUGGUGCAUUUCUAGUAUAUUUUUCUGAGUGAUUGCCAAUGAGCAGAUGCUAGGAUAUAUAGAUGGACUGGGUUGUUCAGAAGAUACCUAGUUGACUCCCCAUAUAUGUGGUGGCCUGCAAAUCUAGUUCAGUUCUCUCUGUUCAGGAAUUGUUCAAGGCGUUGCAUGAGAAAGACAAGAGACCAAGAGGGGUCAUACAAGGCAACAAUUCUUCUUCAGGGUUUUCAUAUCGAGUUUCGGUUACUACCUCAUUCCAAGCUACCUCUUCCCAUCAAUAUCUUGCAUCUCAUUGGUUUGUUUGAUAUGGAGAAACUCCAUUACUGCCCAACAGAUUGGUUCGGGCCUUCGCGGCCUUGGCAUCGGCUCAUUCGGGAUUGAUUGGAAAACUGUUGCUGGCUUCUUGGGAAGCCCUCUGGCCACACCUGGCUUUGCAAUCGUCAAUGUCUUAAUUGGGUUUUUCAUGGUCGUCUAUGUAAUAAACCCCAUUGUCUACUGGUCAAAUCUUUAUGAAGCUAAGCGAUUUCCCAUGAUUUCUGCUCACACUUUUCACUUCACUGGUAAAACCUACAUUUCUC